This 113-nucleotide non-coding RNA is filed under the name Clostridium perfringens. RNAcentral's name for it is "SAM-I sequence". It matches the Rfam family "SAM riboswitch aptamer (S box leader)". Rfam says of the family: The SAM riboswitch is found upstream of a number of genes which code for proteins involved in methionine or cysteine biosynthesis in Gram-positive bacteria. Lineage: Bacteria; Bacillati; Bacillota; Clostridia; Eubacteriales; Clostridiaceae. RNAcentral also lists the same sequence under 1 other name. The record is from RNAcentral.
UUCUUAUCAAGAGAGGUGGAGGGACUGGCCCUGUGAAACCCAGCAACCUAUGGUAUAAGUAUUUUUUAUGUCAUAACGGUGCUAAAUCCUGCAGGUUUACUGAUAGAUAAGUA